RNAcentral lists this ribosomal RNA (203 nucleotides) under uncultured Bacteroidota bacterium. Its description in RNAcentral is "uncultured Bacteroidetes bacterium partial 16S ribosomal RNA". It matches the Rfam family "Bacterial small subunit ribosomal RNA", at positions 295 to 497 of the family's 1533-position model. Lineage: Bacteria; Pseudomonadati; Bacteroidota. The record is from RNAcentral.
AGAGGAAGGUGCCCCACAUUGGAACUGAGACACGGUCCAACUCCUACGGGAGGCAGCAGUGAGGAAUAUUGGUCAAUGGCCGAGAGUCUGAACCUGCCAAGUAGCGUGAAGGAUGAAGGGCCUCGGGUUGUAAACUUCAUUUAUAAGGGAAUAAACCCUCCCACGUGUGGGAGCUUGUAUGUACCUUAUGAAUAAGCAUCGGC